RNAcentral lists this small nucleolar RNA (63 nucleotides) under Methanolacinia petrolearia DSM 11571. RNAcentral's name for it is "Methanoplanus petrolearius DSM 11571 Small nucleolar RNA sR3". It matches the Rfam family "Small nucleolar RNA sR3". Lineage: Archaea; Methanobacteriati; Methanobacteriota; Methanomicrobia; Methanomicrobiales; Methanomicrobiaceae. The record is from Rfam by way of RNAcentral.
GCGUAUGAUGAACAAUGGGUCUGCUGAAGGGAAACCUAGUGAUGAUCCGUUGGAGCGCUGAUG